CCUCCUUAUACGAUUUAGAACUUAUUUGUUCGUAGUGUCCACACAGAUGAUUGUUAGUUAGUUUUACCCUUUGGGUUUAACUGAUUAAUAUGCUCUUUAAAAAUUUGGAAAAGCUGAUAAUAAAAUUCGUAUGAAUAACACUGUUAUUUGUACAGAGUUUUCAAAAGUAAAAAAGAAUGAUAGCAGUAUCAUUCAGUGCCAAUUUAAUCAUUUAUGAUUAAUUGGUAUCUACUUUAGUAUUCAAUAUUAACUUCUGGCGAAGUUAAACUGCCACUAACAAAGACCCGUUUGGGUUGUAUGGUUAAGUGACUAAGCGUACACGGUGGAUGC
This 330-nucleotide unclassified non-coding RNA is filed under the name uncultured Pseudoalteromonas sp. RNAcentral's name for it is "partial 16S-23S ribosomal RNA intergenic spacer". The record is from RNAcentral. Lineage: Bacteria; Pseudomonadati; Pseudomonadota; Gammaproteobacteria; Alteromonadales; Pseudoalteromonadaceae.